UUGGAGGGCAAGUCUGGUGCCAGCAGCCGCGGUAAUUCCAGCUCCAAUAGCGCAUAUUAAAGUUGUUGCAGUUAAAAAGCUCGUAGUUGAAUUUCGGGAUUAGUACGUUGGUCGUGCCUUAGGUACGUACUGGUGUUACUGGUUCCUACCUUCUGACGAACCAUCAUGUCAUUAAUUUGGUGUGGUGGGGAAUCAGGACUGUUACUUUGAAAAAAUUAGAGUGUUUAAAGCAGGCUCGCGCUUGAAUACAUUAGCAUGGAAUAAUGAAAUAGGACGUUGAUCCUAUUUUGUUGGUUUCUAGGAUUGACGUAAUAAUUAAUAGGGAUAGUUGGGGGCAUUAGUAUUCAAUUGUCAGAGGUGAAAUUCUUGGAUUUAUUGAAGACUAACUACUGCGAAAGCAUUUGCCAAGGAUGUUUUCAUUAAUCAAGAACGAAAGUUAGGGGAUCGAAGACGAUCAGAUACCGUCGUAGUCUUAACCAUAAACUAUGCCGACUAGGGAUCGGAUGAUGUUAUUUUUAAUGACUCAUUCGGCACCUUACGGGAAAC
This 546-nucleotide ribosomal RNA is filed under the name uncultured Glomus. RNAcentral describes it as "SSU rRNA". It matches the Rfam family "Eukaryotic small subunit ribosomal RNA", at positions 548 to 1098 of the family's 1831-position model. Lineage: Eukaryota; Fungi; Glomeromycota; Glomeromycetes; Glomerales; Glomeraceae. The record is from RNAcentral.